RNAcentral lists this ribosomal RNA (579 nucleotides) under uncultured bacterium. RNAcentral's name for it is "partial 16S ribosomal RNA". It matches the Rfam family "Bacterial small subunit ribosomal RNA", at positions 355 to 932 of the family's 1533-position model. The record is from RNAcentral.
UGGGGAAUUUUGGACAAUGGGCGAAAGCCUGAUCCAGCAAUGCCGCGUGUGUGAAGAAGGCCUUCGGGUUGUAAAGCACUUUUGUCCGGAAAGAAAUCCUUGGCUCUAAUACAGUCGGGGGAUGACGGUACCGGAAGAAUAAGCGCCGGCUAACUACGUGCCAGCAGCCGCGGUAAUACGUAGGGUGCAAGCGUUAAUCGGAAUUACUGGGCGUAAAGCGUGCGCAGGCGGUUUGCUAAGACCGAUGUGAAAUCCCCGGGCUCAACCUGGGAACUGCAUUGGUGACUGGCAGGCUAGAGUAUGGCAGAGGGGGGUAGAAUUCCACGUGUAGCAGUGAAAUGCGUAGAGAUGUGGAGGAAUACCGAUGGCGAAGGCAGCCCCCUGGGCCAAUACUGACGCUCAUGCACGAAAGCGUGGGGAGCAAACAGGAUUAGAUACCCUGGUAGUCCACGCCCUAAACGAUGUCAACUAGUUGUUGGGGAUUCAUUUCCUUAGUAACGUAGCUAACGCGUGAAGUUGGCCGCCUGGGGAGUACGGUCGCAAGAUUAAAACUCAAAGGAAUUGACGGGGUCAUAGCUG